AGACAGGUCUCCAGGAAUUGUCUCCAGUGAAAGAGAGAUGCUUUGUGCCAGGGAAUGCUCCUUCCCUGGGGAGAGCACACAUCAAAUGUGGGAGUAAAAAGGUAAUGCCCCACUACUUGUUGUAGCGAAUCUUUGAAGGGCCAUCCUAGCUCCAGAAUAGUCUAUGAACUUGAUUAAAUCCUCAACUGCGUCACAGUUCAACUUCUCCCUCUGCUCAGCCCUGCUUCCCUCUCUCUUUUACAGGUGUUGUUCCUGGGAGCAUCCCUAAUGAAUGUUCCACAUGCAGAUGUCCAUCUGAGUCUGUUUCCUCAGAAAUUGACAUAAGACACUCAUUUAUAUAAAAACAGCCACUUGAUUUGGACAAAGCCAUCGUGAGCAGCUGUAAUCUGUCACAGUGAAAACCUCAAAUAAACAACAGCAAAACCCAUCGGUUUUAUGGUUUGUGGUUCAGAAGCAACAAUAUGCAAAACAGUGGAAUAGUCUAUGCUGCCCUGCACCUGAAUAAGCCUUCUCUUGUCCUGCAAGAGCUGAAGAACCCAGAAUCCUUGUGCCUGCGGGAACUGACUAAAUGUUAGAGCACCCUGGGAGGGGCCAAGCCCGUCAGGGUCAAGGCAAGUAGUGAGGGGCGCGAUCACCCUCAGGGGCCCACUGUGUAACCAGAGCUGUGUACAUGUAUGCAGGGUGUGGAGAAUGACCCACCAUGGGCCAUUUCUCCUCAAGGCUCUGGAGUUUCCAAUUUGGGAAUUUAGUUAAAGAAGUAAUUCCCCACUAAUUGGUUAUAAAGCUAUUCUGCUACAUUAUAUGUUACUAACUUUGUAGUAUUAUCUUUUGCAUUUAGGAAUUUAUUCCUUUCUGAAUAAAACUUUGCUUGUGUCUUUCAAAAAUGA
This is a non-coding RNA of Equus caballus (horse), 887 nucleotides long. The record is from RefSeq and is a predicted model, not a curated record. NCBI's taxonomy places the organism in Eukaryota, Metazoa, Chordata, Mammalia, Perissodactyla, Equidae.